This 445-nucleotide ribosomal RNA is filed under the name uncultured bacterium. RNAcentral's name for it is "partial 16S ribosomal RNA". It matches the Rfam family "Bacterial small subunit ribosomal RNA", at positions 354 to 796 of the family's 1533-position model. The record is from RNAcentral.
GUGAGGAAUAUUGGUCAAUGGGCGGGAGCCUGAACCAGCCAAGUCGCGUGAAGGAAGAAGGAUCUAUGGUUCGUAAACUUCUUUUGCAGGGGAAUAAAGUGCAGGACGUGUCCUGUUUUGUAUGUACCCUGAGAAUAAGGAUCGGCUAACUCCGUGCCAGCAGCCGCGGUAAUACGGAGGAUCCGAGCGUUAUCCGGCUUGAUUGGGUUUAUAGGGUGCGUAGGUGGUUUGAUAAGUCAGCGGUGAAAGUUUGCAGCUUAACUGUAAAAAUGCCGUUGAAACUGUCGGACUUGAGUGUAAAUGAGGUAGGCGGAAUGCGUGGUGUAGCGGUGAAAUGCAUAGAUAUCACGCAGAACUCCGAUUGCGAAGGCAGCUUACUAAGCUACAACUGACACUGAAGCACGAAAGCGUGGGGAUCAAACAGGAUUAGAUACCCUAGUAGUCC